UCUUUUCUUUUGAUAGGAGAGUUUUUAAAACCAGUGUUAUUUUUGUAAGUUUAAGAGAAGUUUGUGUAUUGAAUUUUUUAUUUUUAAUAUUAAAGAGCUUUGUUAAACUUAGACUUAAGUUUAGGUCAUUUUGGGGGUUUAGCUCAGUUGGCUAGAGCAUCGGCUUUGCAAGCCGAGGGUCAAGGGUUCGAGUCCCUUAACCUCCAUUGGGCUUAUGUCCUAAAUCGUAAUUAAGUAUGUUUUUAAGUAACUUUGUUAAAGUAAUUGUUGGAAUGUGAAACAGAGGAAGUUAAAAUUUCUGGGUUAAGUUGAGAUCUGUUGAUAUUAAGAAGAAUCUCUAGAAGCAAAAGCAAGCUUUCGAUAAAACCCGAAGUUGUUUCGCUAAAGUGCAAGGAUUAAACAGGAUUGUAUUUUCCAGUAGCCUAUUUUAUAAACGAUCUGCAUUUAGUAAAUAGUUUUUAGUUAAGAAAUAAUGCAGAUUGCUAAGUGUGAUGCC
Molecule: unclassified non-coding RNA, 496 nt
Filed under: Borreliella burgdorferi (Lyme disease spirochete)
Lineage: Bacteria; Pseudomonadati; Spirochaetota; Spirochaetia; Spirochaetales; Borreliaceae
Description: partial 16S-23S ribosomal RNA intergenic spacer
Rfam family: tRNA (bases 133-206)
Source: RNAcentral